AGGCCGACGCCUCGGCCUGCGGCUGCGCUGUGCCCCUCCCGGCGGGCUGGGGUCCGCGCAGGCCAGCCCUGAGGGUGCAGGACAGGCCCCCCAGCGCGGCGCGGCGCCGAGAGCGCGGUGAAGAUCCCGGAAACGCUGCGUCCUCUAAAAGCGGAGGAAAUCAGUCGUCACUUUGACUAGCGUCUCCACACCUGCAGCUCCCUAGAACUUCCAGACCCUGGCAGCACCUCCACCACCUUCACACUGAUACAGAAGCAGCUUAGCUUGAAGUGGUGGCAACUGAGUCUCGAUCCGGGUUACAUUGAAUGUGCUCCUUUGGAAGAUGCAUCUGGCUGGCCUUGAUGCAGCCAAGGCUGGUGGUGGGAGAGGCAAAAUGUGAAGAAAGGCUCUCUUAGACGGCAAACAAGAAGCUGGAAGAAUCUAUCUAGGAUUGUAGUAAUAGAGAUGGAAGAAGAAGGUGUUCCCUUAUCUG
This is a long non-coding RNA of Meriones unguiculatus (Mongolian gerbil), 472 nucleotides long. RefSeq lists it as uncharacterized. The transcript has 3 exons. The record is from RefSeq and is a predicted model, not a curated record. NCBI's taxonomy places the organism in Eukaryota, Metazoa, Chordata, Mammalia, Rodentia, Muridae.